CUUUGUGUUACUGAGAAGACAGGAUCACAGACCUCCCUGACAUAUGCCUGGGUCAUCAGCCUGCGUCUCUGUACUCCUCCUCCUUUUACACUGUAUCUUGAAACAGAUCCAUGCAGAACAGAGGGGGUAUAUAAACAUGUAUUUGGCUCCUGUUUAUAAAAAUUCCUACUUAAAGGCCACCAUGCAAGAACUAGCAACUUGUAGGCACUGGUGA
RNAcentral lists this long non-coding RNA (214 nucleotides) under Rattus norvegicus (Norway rat). Its description in RNAcentral is "long non-coding RNA NONRATT032532". The record is from RNAcentral. Lineage: Eukaryota; Metazoa; Chordata; Mammalia; Rodentia; Muridae.